Molecule: ribosomal RNA, 235 nt
Filed under: uncultured bacterium
Lineage: Bacteria
Description: partial 16S ribosomal RNA
Rfam family: Bacterial small subunit ribosomal RNA
Source: RNAcentral
UGGCGGACGGGUGAGUAAUGUCUGGGAAACUGCCUGAUGGAGGGGGAUAACUACUGGAAACGGUAGCUAAUACCGCAUAACGUCGCAAGACCAAAGAGGGGGACCUUCGGGCCUCUUGCCAUCGGGUGUGCCCAGAUGGGAUUAGCUAGUAGGUGGGGUAACGGCUCACCUAGGCGACGAUCCCUAGCUGGUCUGAGAGGAUGACCAGCCACACUGGAACUGAGACACGGUCCAG